UUACCUCCAGAGGACACACCAACAAGUCAUCAUCUUGGACACACAGACAUGGACGUCACCAGACUCUGAACCUGCUGGUGCCUUGAUCUUGGACUUCCCAGUCUCCAGAAUGGUCUCUCCUUCCCACAUUAUUAUUUUGAGUGUUGCAUGUUCUGUUCCCCUUGCUGCCUGCUCCUCAUGUCAUGUCAGUGUGCAUUUCUAAUAACAGAAUGCCCUGAGUACUCAAGACUUCCCUCUGUGUGUGGGAGACAAGAAGACCCAAGGAAAAUUUUAAAACAUGGGAAUGAGACAGGAAGUCAAGCAAAUACUAAGCAAACUGAAGGGAGGAAAGUAGAGGGAACAGCAAGAAAAAAGCAAAAACCUCUGAAAUCAAGCAAGCUAGGAAGAAACCAAGAACAAAAAGCUGAACAUAGACAUUGGGUUUUGAAUAUCAGGCAACUCAGGCAACUGAGUUUUCAGAUGUGAAAGAAUCAUUUUACAGAUUGAGGCCCAAAGGUGGUAACAUGGAUCAUAAAAUGGUUGAGAGCAGGACUGUGACCAGAAUCUCCAUCUUGACAACUCCCAAGACAAUUUUCUUUCCACUCCUUCAUUCUGUCUUUGGGGAAGCUCUUUAGGUGGCCAGAGACAGAGUAAAGGCAUUUUGUGAAAUUCCAGAUGAUUCUUAUACUACUUUUACUCCUCAGGUUGGACAGAGAUAACAGAUCUGACUUUACCCUCAGCUGCACAAUGGCUUCCUAGAGGUUCAGUAACUUAUUUUAUUGAUGGUGAGUCUUGGAGGAUGAAAUGCCAUGGGCACUUGACUGGAUUUAAUUAACAGAUACUUUAUUGCACUGACUAUGCACCAGGCACUGUCCUAGGUUUUUCAGUUUUGUUUUUACAAAUAUUAACAGAUUUAAUUCUUGUGUGGAUCCCAUGCAAGAAAAAAGUUCUCUUGCCCUUCUGAACUUCAGCUGCAGGGCAAUUUAGCUCCUAACAGAAAAUCAGGACUUGGUGACUCCCCUUUUAUGAGGCUGGGUUUGAAAGGCCUGUGAGUCACACUGCAGGGAACUAUUUUCCUCCACCACCUGGAGCCUCAGGAAACAAUAUCUGUGGGCUGUGAGGAAGCUUGAACAAUUAGAGUCUGCAGGCAUGGCUGGAUUUACCUUUGAUUCCUUUCCUCUGGUCCCUGACUUCAUAAGUCUGCAUUCCUCCCUACAAACACACACACAAUUUACUUAUUGUUUCAUGCUACCUAAGUUGUCUGUGAUCAUAAUAAACUAAUGACUGCCAAAGA
Long non-coding RNA from Cebus imitator (Panamanian white-faced capuchin), 1273 nucleotides. RefSeq lists it as uncharacterized. The transcript has 2 exons. The record is from RefSeq and is a predicted model, not a curated record. NCBI's taxonomy places the organism in Eukaryota, Metazoa, Chordata, Mammalia, Primates, Cebidae.